Molecule: ribosomal RNA, 676 nt
Filed under: uncultured Bacteroidales bacterium
Lineage: Bacteria; Pseudomonadati; Bacteroidota; Bacteroidia; Bacteroidales
Description: bacterial SSU rRNA
Rfam family: Bacterial small subunit ribosomal RNA
Source: RNAcentral
CAGCAUGGUCUUAGCUUGCUAAGGCCGAUGGCGACCGGCGCACAGGUGAGUAACGCGUAUCCAACCUGCCUUACACUCUUGGACAGCCUUCUGAAAGGGAGAUUAAUACAAGAUGUUAUCAUGAGUAAGCAUUUUCGCAUGAUUAAAGGUUUACCGGUGUAAGAUGGGGAUGCGUUCCAUUAGAUAGUAGGCGGGGUAACGGCCCACCUAGUCUUCGAUGGAUAGGGGUUCUGAGAGGAAGGUCCCCCACAUUGGAACUGAGACACGGUCCAAACUCCUACGGGAGGCAGCAGUGAGGAAUAUUGGUCAAUGGACGAGAGUCUGAACCAGCCAAGUAGCGUGAAGGAUGAAGGUUCUAUGGAUUGUAAACUUCUUUUAUACGGGAAUAAACGGAUCCACGUGUGGAUUUUUGCAUGUACCGUAUGAAUAAGGAUCGGCUAACUCCGUGCCAGCAGCCGCGGUAAUACGGAGGAUCCGAGCGUUAUCCGGAUUUAUUGGGUUUAAAGGGAGCGUAGAUGGGUUGUUAAGUCAGUUGUGAAAGUUUGCGGCUCAACCGUAAAAUUGCAAUUGAUACUGGCAGUCUUGAGUACAGUUGAGGUAGGCGGAAUUCGUGGUGUAGCGGUGAAAUGCUUAGAUAUCACGAAGAACUCCGAUUGCGAAGGCAGCUUACUAACCU